RNAcentral lists this ribosomal RNA (482 nucleotides) under uncultured bacterium. RNAcentral's name for it is "partial 16S ribosomal RNA". It matches the Rfam family "Bacterial small subunit ribosomal RNA", at positions 30 to 507 of the family's 1533-position model. The record is from RNAcentral.
AUUGAACGCUGGCGGCAUGCCUUACACAUGCAAGUCGAACGGUAACGGGCCUUCGGGUGCCGACGAGUGGCGAACGGGUGAGUAAUACAUCGGAACGUGCCAGAUCGCGGGGGAUAACGAGGCGAAAGCUUUGCUAAUACCGCAUACGAUCUACGGAUGAAAGCAGGGGACCUCAAGGCCUUGCGCGGACGGAGCGGCCGAUGGCAGAUUAGGUAGUUGGUGGGAUAAAAGCUUACCAAGCCGACGAUCUGUAGCUGGUCUGAGAGGAUGAUCAGCCACACUGGGACUGAGACACGGCCCAGACUCCUACGGGAGGCAGCAGUGGGGAAUUUUGGACAAUGGGCGCAAGCCUGAUCCAGCCAUGCCGCGUGCAGGAUGAAGGCCUUCGGGUUGUAAACUGCUUUUGUACGGAACGAAAAGCCUUCUUUUAAUACAGGAGGGUCAUGACGGUACCGUAAGAAUAAGCACCGGCUAACUACGUG